AUUUCCCUGCGCUGUUGGUGAUUCGCGGCGCGUGUUGAGCCAACUCAACCAAAAAGGGCGGCUGUCCCCGACGCCGAUGGGAAUUCCUCACAAGGAAUUCCCAGAUGUUGCCGGUAAGCCGCCCACCUAAUUCAUAUUAGGUUUAACAUGUCUGCGGACACGGCAGCGCGGGGAUGUU
RNAcentral lists this non-coding RNA (178 nucleotides) under Desulfobulbaceae bacterium. RNAcentral's name for it is "6S RNA". It matches the Rfam family "6S / SsrS RNA". From Rfam's summary of the family: E. coli 6S RNA was the first non coding RNA to be sequenced, but its function was unknown until recently. It consists of 184 nucleotides that fold into an extended hairpin structure with a large single-stranded internal bulge. The 6S RNA specifically associates with RNA polymerase holoenzyme containing the sigma70 specificity factor. Lineage: Bacteria; Pseudomonadati; Thermodesulfobacteriota; Desulfobulbia; Desulfobulbales; Desulfobulbaceae. The record is from RNAcentral.